UCGAGAAUCUUUCACAAUGGGGGAAACCCUGAUGGAGCGACGCCGCGUGGAGGAUACAGUCUUCGGAUUUUAAACUCCUGUCAUGCAAGAGCAAGGCUGUCAAAAGCUUGAUAGUAUUGCAAGAGGAAGAGGCGGCAAACUCUGUGCCAGCAGCCGCGGUAAUACAGAGGCCUCAAGCGUUGUUCGGAAUCACUGGGCGUAAAGGGUGCGUAGGCGGUUUGAUAAGUCAAUUUGUUAAAAUCAUGCGCUCAACGCAUGAAUGCAUUUGAUACUAUUAGACUUGAGAUAUUUAGGGGAGACGGGAAUUCACGGUGUAGCAGUGAAAUGCGUAGAUAUCGUGAGGAACACCA
RNAcentral lists this ribosomal RNA (350 nucleotides) under uncultured bacterium. Its description in RNAcentral is "bacterial SSU rRNA". It matches the Rfam family "Bacterial small subunit ribosomal RNA", at positions 355 to 711 of the family's 1533-position model. The record is from RNAcentral.